This 372-nucleotide ribosomal RNA is filed under the name uncultured bacterium. Its description in RNAcentral is "bacterial SSU rRNA". It matches the Rfam family "Bacterial small subunit ribosomal RNA", at positions 527 to 896 of the family's 1533-position model. The record is from RNAcentral.
GAAGGGGACUAGCGUUGUUCGGAUUUACUGGGCGUAAAGCGCGCGUAGGCGGAGCACUAAGUCAGGGGUGAAAUCCCGAGGCUUAACCUCGGAACUGCCUUUGAUACUGGUGAUCUGGAGAUCGGGAGAGGUUGGUGGAAUUCCGAGUGUAGAGGUGAAAUGCGUAGAUAUCGAGAGGAACACCUGCGGCGAAGGCGUGUUGCUGGGCCGACACUGACGCUGAGGCGCGAAAGCCAGGGGAGCGAACGGGAUUAGAUACCCCGGUAGUCCUGGCCUUAAACGAUGGAUGCUUGGUGUCUGGAGUUUUAUAGUCUCCGGGUGCCGCAGCUAACGCGUUAAGCAUCCCGCCUGGGGAGUACGGUCACAAGACUG